GGCUAGGCACUAUUGGUCUGCCUCUAUGGUAGUACUAGUGGUUGUCUAGCCUUUCCUUCUAGGGGCCUAGUAUGCCUUUCGGGGUGUAUUAGGAGUCUAGGACUUUUACUGUGAAGAAAUUAGAGUGUUUAAGGCAGGCUUGCGCUUGAAUACAUUAGCAUGGAAUAAUAGAAUAGGACUUUGGUUCUAUUUUGUUGGUUUUAAGGACCAAAGUA
This 215-nucleotide ribosomal RNA is filed under the name uncultured fungus. Its description in RNAcentral is "partial small subunit ribosomal RNA". The stretch from base 87 to 215 matches the Rfam family "Eukaryotic small subunit ribosomal RNA", at positions 733 to 864 of the family's 1831-position model. Lineage: Eukaryota; Fungi. The record is from RNAcentral.